This is a long non-coding RNA of Alligator sinensis (Chinese alligator), 2657 nucleotides long. RefSeq lists it as uncharacterized. The transcript has 4 exons. Lineage: Eukaryota; Metazoa; Chordata; Crocodylia; Alligatoridae. The record is from RefSeq and is a predicted model, not a curated record.
CGGUUUCAGAUCAAUAGAGGACAGAGGACAACCAGGCUGUCCUCUAUGAUGGCCACCCUAUCCACAGCACAAUCCAUCUCACUGAGCCAAACUCCCUAUGGCUUCCUCUCCUUCUCCUGGCCCCAUAAGCCUUUCCCUUCUUGCUACCCAUGAACCAGCAUCAAGAAAAGGGCUGGAGAGGUGCUUUGGCCAAUAUGGACAUAGAAUCUAAGUGCCGCCUAAGCGUCAAAAAUUAUGCUAAGUGCUACUUAGGUGCAUAAAGGUGAAAUACGGUUCAGCCUUUAUGUGUAGAUGAACAGUUAGUUGCACGUGUACUAAUGGGUUCAGCAAGAUAGAAAGUUAUUGUUUUCUGGAGGGAGUUGAAAGAGGGAUGUUUCAAGUGAAAUUUUAAUGCUCAUCUUUUUCAGGUAAAGGCCUUUGCAGUAUUGACAUCUCCUAUCAUUUUAUCACCAGUCUCGUAAUAUUUGAUGGUUUUUUCCCCCCCCUUAAAGCCCUGCCUAGUCCCUGAAAUUGUGUUAGUAAGGGAAAAUCUCAGCUUGCAAAAAAAAAAAAUGUUUCUCAGCCUUGCGGCUGUGGAAAAAGCCUAGAAAUAUGAAAUGAAAGAAAGGUUCAAACACCAAAAGACAAAUACAAAGAAAUCUCAUGCUUCUGAAGCUACUCUAUUGGUAUUCUGGGUGCCUGACUCAUGACUUGUGAAUGCUUGUGGUUGGCAACACUGACUUCGACACUCCUCCUUUCAAAACACAUCUGACUCCAGAGCACUGAAUACUGGGUCAGGUUCUCUGUGGAUACAAAUCAAAGUAACUCUAUUUAACUAUGAUGAUUUAUGUCAGCUGAGGAUCUGUCUCUUUUAGCUUCAAUCCCUCCCCUACUUGAAGCCUGUUCAAUUAGAGCAGAAACUAGACUGAGUUGCUUUGAGUCAGCCAAUUCCGGCAAUGUCCAGUAGAUCCAGUGGAUCAGAGAGACUGACAGCAGGGUUUCACUCUAGCUGGCACUUUGGAUUCACUUCAGUAGCAUUUGGUAUUUUGAAAACAACAGGUUUAGUAGUGAAAAAUUAAUGCUGUCUUAUUCAGUUAUCAGCAGGCAAACAGUAGGUAACGGGAGUUUUGGGGGGCAUGUGUGCAGCCUUUUUUCUAGGCACAUUUCUAGGCUUGAUAACAGGAUAGUCAAUGAUGGAGCAAUGGUGUGAUCUGUAAUAGAUGCACCAAGUUCUUUCCUGUGUGAAGACAGAAGGGACGUCUAGUGUUUGCAAGUCAAGUUGGUAGGUGUGCUGGAAGAAAGAUUCAGUGUUUGGAAGGGCAAAUGCUGAUGUUGUGGGGGAUCGGAGCAAAUAAGAAGCACUUGGACAAUCAGAGUCUGGAACAACGCUACCUCGGAUUCAAGAACCAAAGGAAAUGGCUGCUAAGGAAUCAGAAAGAGUGGAAAUCAGAAAGGAAAUGACAGUUUGUUACCACCAGAGUCACGGCAAGUGGUAUUAUACACAGCUAGAGGGGAAAAAUGAUGUGGUGGGUGUGACUACCAAAAACAAGAGCAUCAGAAGGAAUUCCACACAGCAAGAAUCAUUUGAUUAUUACCAGGUCAUAAGCACAGAAACUUCAGAAAAUAUCUCUGAAGAUCCAGGUCAGCCCAACAAGAACACCUCUGAAGAGAUCUCCAGCCAUUCAAGGAAGAGAAAUGAUCCUGAUCAAGGGCUCUGGUCUUAGAAGAAAAGACUUUUCUACAAGGGAAACCAAACCAGGUAGAAAACAGGAGAGAGGGCUGCCUUCUAAAAGCCAAGUCGCAAGGCCUCAAACCUUCCGUCUUGGUCUCGGAUUUAGGUCAAGAUAUAAUUGUAAGACUGGAUAGACGCUAUCACACUAAUACGAUGACUUUGUGUGUUACCCAUAAAAUAUAAACAACUUUAGACCUUGGAAGAAAGAGUGUUAAAGGAGAAGAAAACCAAAGUAAUCUCAGAGAUCCAUCCUGUUCCAGGGAGAAAGAAAGACAGAAGACAUAACACUUGGAUAUUGAGUCACUGGCCAGCAAGUGAUUAGGCCAUCAGAUACAUGGGCAAUAUCCACAUGAUUAGAAAGAAGCAUGUUGCCAGCAGCACUGAGAAGGAAAACCCAAUUGUCUGGAGGGACCAGUUCUGCUCCCAAUGUGCUGGCCAGGAAGCAGUGCUACCCAGCCAGAGGAAAUUCUUUCAGCUCAACAAUACUGGGCUCUUUGCUGCUCCCUCUCAGCCCCUGAUGUUUUGAUGCUGCCAAAGACUCCAAGGGCAGGAUCUAGAGAGCCCAGUGCAUCUUGGAUUGCCAGAAGGGUAAGAUGGGUCCCCUGUGACGGCCAGAACCAGAGGGAUUAAUAAGCAAUAAAUAAGUGCUUCUUGGAGGCAUUUGGUAUUUUGCCUAACAGGUAAUAUUAGCUAAUAUAAAGCUUGUAAGUUCAUAACCUGCAAAUGUAACUUGUCUGUCAUAAGUUUAACCAAAAUGAUAAAACUAACUGUUCGUAUUAAUUGUGGAACUGACUGGGCCCCAAAGGCGAAGCCGUAGCUGCAAGUUUAGCUGACCUAACGGUUUUUGCUCAGGGUUCAGCCUUGAUGAUAAAAACUGGAUCCAACUGCCUGGCAUACCCAACAUAUUCCAGGAAAGCACGUCCCAAGAAAACAUACUCAGAGAAAC